GUGGGCAGAAUGGAGAUAGCCUAAUGUGUGGCUUUAUGCUAGCAAACAGAAACUUUUAAUGUAAUUGUAAUGUCUUACUUAUUGAUAAGUAAACUGGCAAUAUUUUCACAAAUUAACUGUGUCGAAUGUUUCAUCUUAAGUUUCCCGCAUAAUAACGUGUGUAUAUAACAGGAUAAUUAUUAUUUAAUUGUAAUAUUUUCUUAUCACUCCUAUUUUUAAUUUUAUUUGUUAUUGCUGUACUUCACUUAUUCAGAUAGAGAGAGAGAAAUAGUUUUCCAUUACCAUCUUCUGUUUUCAUCAAAAUAAUUAACUUUUGUCAUGGGAGAACCCUAUGGUUUAGGGAGUGAGAUGUACAGUCACAAGAAAAGUAAAAAGAGGGUGUAAAACAUCGAAGAAAACAUGGACAGAAGUAGUGGCUUGAAAAGGCCUCGUUUGGAUUCUGUUCAAGGGUAUGGAGCUUCAAACUUUGAAGAAACUAAUCAGUUUUCCUGUAAUGAAGAAUUGUGGGGUGAUGAAGAAAUGACAGCUGAGGAAUUUGAUUUGUUAGAGAGUCAAGUUAUGGAGCUUGAAACACAGAAGACAGACAGUAGGCCACUGCCUCAUAAGAUAUCAGAUCAGACACCUAGUGUUACAGUUACCAAACUUAUGUCUAGCUCUCCACCUGGAUUCUGUACAUUACAGAAUUUAGAAAUUGGUACUAGUACAUCUAAUAACUUAAAUCAAAGUAAUGAGUUGGUGGUUGUUCUUCAGACAAAAUUAAAAGAACACCAACAAGAAAUUAGUGAAUUGAAAAAUCACCAGUAUGUUCAAGAAGGACAGCUUAGCAUGCUUAGAACUUCUCUAGAACAAAGGUCCAAAGAACUUGAUCAAGAGAGGUUGGAACGUGAAUGCUUGCUAGAUAUCAAACUUCAAGAACAAAAACAAGAGGAAUUGAAAUUAAAGCAACAAAUUGAGAAGCUCCAAACUGAACUUCAUUUCAAAGAUCAGGAAAUCCGAGAAGCUCUGGAGAAAAUUCAGGCAUUGGACCAAAGAUGUAAGCAUAAAUUAAACAUUCCAGAGGAAAAAUUGCCUUUGGGGAGCAGCAAGUCAUCACAGAAGCUGAAUUGUUCUUCACAACAAGGGAAGGCUUGUGAGAAUGGGUUUUUAGCAAGAUUUUCUUCUAUGACAGAACAGAAAUCUGCAGUGGGAAUUCAAACAGAAGACGAAUUUGUUUUAAGAGAUUUUGAAAAGUUUAGUGUAAACAAGCAGAACCUCUCUCUUGUUGACAGGUUAUUAGCAAGUGGUGUGCCUUCCUGGUUCAUUGAGAGUUUGAUAAAUCACAAAGCAUCUUCUUUAAGUUCCUCAGAUAUAGAAAAAAUACACUUUAAUAAAGCUCUACUUAAACCAAUAUCUAUGCUACCAAGGGCAACAGAAGAUCCUGGAAGUAGACUUUUAAUAGCAUCCUUAUUUCCCUCUGUAGGAUACGAGAGCAUGUCUAGUUACUUGAAACAUAUGGUUAGCUAUAGUAAGCAAGAGACCAGCAAGUUCAACUGUAUAAGUGUCCAUGUUGAUAUUUUAGAAGUUGUGGUAAAGUACCUUCAGGAGUUCCUGGAGUCCCUCAACACUUCUUCUUUUCCCAUUGUGUCCGAUUUGGGAAGAAUUCCCAAAACACAGCCAACAUCUGCUUCAGCAACUCAAGAUUCUAACUCUCUUCAUGAAUACAAGGAAGUGACAGCUGUCUUUGGCCUCCAAACUGUGGUCACAAUUUUAUCAUCACUAUCUCCACAUAUUGGUAGUUUUUUCUCUUCUGCAUUAGAGGAUAUUGAUGAGAAUGGUCAUCUCACCCAGCUGGCUUCGUCAGCUAAUCUUUUCACUCAGAAAGACAACUUUUGUGUUUCAUCUGGAACAAAGCUUCAGGACAAAACUGAAACAGCUAUACACAGAUUCAUCUUGCUUCUUUUGCGUGCUGCUAAUCCUCAGUUCCUAAAUGGUGAAUUAGUUAAUCAGACUGUUUUGGAGUGGUCACUUAUGGUACUGCUCAGCAUUGUGCAUUCUGUCAUGCAAAAUGGUGGGUCAGUGAAAAAAUUACUCUGUCAGCUUGAUGUGGCUACUUUAGUAAGUGGGAGUUAUGGUAUAGAAAUGGCUUGGAUUACUUUGAAUAUACUUGUUUGUGCACUCCCUGAAAGGACUGUAGCAGAAACUGUACUUAGACACUGCUCAAAACCAGUGGAACAGUCUUGUGUCUUUAAAAAUGUUAGUGAACUUUGUAAUCAGUUGGUAGGAAGUAAUGUAGGAAUUAGGACAGAUGUUGUGAGCCUAAUUAUAGACUUUAUAUCAAAAACUAUGUCAACGUUAGGAUUUGAUUUUGUUCUCUCUACAGACUGCUGUGCUGCAGGAGUAAUGGCUUCCAUAAUGAGGGUUUUACACCAAGAACUUGAGAACUUUCAGGUAUUAAACACUGAGAAGAGCAAAACAUGCUUAAAAAAAGGAAUAUCUUUGCUAGCCUUAGUAUCUAGAUACUGUUCGAGUAGUUUCUCUCAGCUGUGUAGCACAGCACGGGGCGAGUGGGCUAACUUUCUGCAUGACCUCAUGAUCAUGUGUGCAAGUGACACAUCCUUUAAGCAGAAUGUGAGAGAUGAUGUUCAAGAGCUUUGGAAUAAUUUUGCCACAGAAGAUGUUGGUGAAAUCAUUCCUGCAGGAUGCUCUAGCAGUUCAGGUGAAACAUCAAGUACAGGGUCACAGAAACUCCUGCCAAAAGUAUCAGAUGUAGAAAAGUCGUGUCAGUCGUGGUCAUGAAGUUUAAUUUUAGAAUGAGGAUACCCAUAUUAUCUUGGUGUGGUUCUCAUCAUGCUAGAAAUUUUAAUUUGAAAGAGCAUUAAGUGAAUUAAAAGCACAAAGGAAUGGUGUUUGUUUUUAUAUAACUAUUUGUUUUACAAGCUGUCUAGGUAAAUACAUAAAACUGUUGUCUAUGCUCAUUGUCAGUUUUCUUUGGUUAUGAAUUUUUCACACAAGGAAAUAACUGGGUAAUUUAUCUGUGUGAAUAAAGUUCAUUCGAUCAUCAUCAUCACACGCGUAAACUUUCUUGAUUACUUCUUCAUUUCAUGUGUGACACAGCUGUUGUGUCACAAGACUGCCAGUAUUUCCAGAUAGGAGAACAUUACUUCUUGGGUUCAUGAGUUACCCAGCGUUUAGAUGUAGAAACAAUAAUAUCAUGAUUUUUAACAGUUCAAAAUUGAAGUUUUCUCUAAAGAUCUGUUAGUUUCUGAUGUUGGAAAUAAAAAUGCAAUUAUUGAAACAUUUUAACUUUGUUUUAAUGUUUGUUUGGACUAGAAGUUAUUUACUGUUUUUCGAAACCAAGCCGAUACUCUAUAACUUUAUGCCAUUAACACAAGUGAUACUAUAUCUAUGGUGUAUUUUUAUAACUAUACUAAUAUGUAGCUCUUGACGUAACACAAGUGAUACUAUAUCUAUGGUGUGUUUUUAUAUAACUAUACUAAUAUGUAGCUCCUGACGUAACACAAGUGAUACUAUAUCUAUGGUGUGUUUUUAUAUAACUAUUCUAAUAUGUAGCUCUUGACGUAACACAAGUGAUACUACAUCUAUGGUGUGUUUUUAUAUAACUAUACUAAUAUGUAACUCUUGACGUAACACAAGUGAUACUAUAUCUAUGGUGUGUUUUUAUAUAACUAUACUAAUAUGUAGCUCUUGACUAACACAAGUGAUACUAUAUCUAUGGUGUGUUUUUAUAUAACUAUACUAAUAUGUAGCUCUUGAUCUAACACAAGUGAUACUACAUAUAUGGUGUGUUUUUAUAUAACUAUACUAAUAUGCAGCUCUAAUGCUACUAAUUUAUUCAGCAGGCUGAGUGUCUUAGACACUUUCUGAAAAGACUAACUAAAUUACAUCCGACGUUUCGAUUUCACAACUUUGCCAAGGGUUACAACUACUGACGUGGCUCGGCUAUAACCGAAAAGAAGACUCGGUUCGAUCGUUUUUGGCGGUAAUUUCGGUAUAAAAUCUUUCGAGGUAAACCUUGGAAGAAACGUCAGUUUCUGUUCUACCUGCCCGUGAUGGGGUUAGGGCUGUAGAUGUGUUUCAAUAUCACACAUGAUUGCUAAUAUUAUUAUUACAUUAGCUUUAGUAUUAAACCAUAAACAUAGGUACGUGGGGGUUUUGUGGGACGCUAUAAUGUAUAUCUAGUGUACAAUAUACGAGAGAACUGAUUUCACCUACAUCGUGUAUGAAGAACGAGAGAACUGAUUCCGUCUACAUCGUAUAUGUAAUGUAUGAACAACAAGAGAACUGAUUCCAUCUACAUCGUACAUGUAGUGUAUGAACAACGAGAGAACUGAUUCCAUCUACAUCGUAUAUGUAAUGUAUGAACAACGAGAGAACUGAUUCCAUCUACAUCGUACAUGUAGUGUAUGAACAACGAGAUAACUGAUUUCAUCUACAUCGUAUAUGUAGUGUAUGA
RNA transcript from Limulus polyphemus (Atlantic horseshoe crab), 4453 nucleotides. RefSeq lists it as uncharacterized. The transcript is spliced from 3 exons. Lineage: Eukaryota; Metazoa; Arthropoda; Merostomata; Xiphosura; Limulidae. The record is from RefSeq and is a predicted model, not a curated record.